CCUACGUGAGGCAGCAGUGGGGAAUAUUGCGCAAUGGGCGAAAGCCUGACGCAGCGACGCCGCGUGAGGGAAGACGGUCCUAUGGAUUGUAAACCUCUUUAGGCGGGGAGCAAUGCCGGGCACGCGUGCCCGGAGGGAGAGUACCCGCAGAAUAAGCAUCGGCUAACUCCGUGCCAGCAGCCGCGAUAAUACGGAGGAUGCGAGCGUUAUCCGGAUUUUUUGGGUUUAAAGGGUGCGUCGGCGGAUUUUUAAGUCAGCGGUAUAAUGUCCGGGCUCAACCCGGGCCGGCCGUUGAAACUGGGGAUCUUGAGUGGGCGAGAAGUAUGCGGAAUGCGUGGUGUAGCGGUGAAAUGCAUAGAUAUCACGCAGAACUCCGAUUGCGAAGGCAGCAUACCGGCGCCCGACUGACGCUGAGGCACGAAAGCGUGGGGAUCGAACAGGAUUAGAUACCCGUGUAGUC
This 460-nucleotide ribosomal RNA is filed under the name uncultured bacterium. RNAcentral describes it as "partial 16S ribosomal RNA". It matches the Rfam family "Bacterial small subunit ribosomal RNA", at positions 338 to 795 of the family's 1533-position model. The record is from RNAcentral.